Long non-coding RNA from Corapipo altera (White-ruffed manakin), 472 nucleotides. RefSeq lists it as uncharacterized. NCBI's taxonomy places the organism in Eukaryota, Metazoa, Chordata, Aves, Passeriformes, Pipridae. The record is from RefSeq and is a predicted model, not a curated record. The transcript has 3 exons.
ACAACACAGGGGGUGCAAGUGCUGUGCCGUGCCAGGGCCUGCCCCAGCAGUCCUGGCCCUGCCCUGUUCCGUGAGUCCUGGGUUCAGCUUCCCACAGGAGCUGGAAAUGGCACAGGGGGAAGGCAGGGACACCCUGCACCUGCCCCAUUCCAGGACAGAGGGAGCUCAUCAGGUUUCCCUUUUCCCAUCAGAGAGUCAUCACAGGAGGACAUUAAUGCUUUCGCCGAGUUCAGAGAGAGACACAGGCACUGUGAUUCCAGUGAGUGCCUUUGUCCAGGAGGCAGGCAGGAGGCAGAGGAGGAGGGGCCCUGGGAACUGCUCCUGUGCUCCUCCUGUGCUGCUGAGGGCACCCACAGACACUGCUCUGGCCUGAGGGACAGCAUAACCAGCUGGGAAUGUGAUGGCUGUGCUGGUCUGGGCACAGCCUCCCGAGAUGACUCAGGGCUUGCUGGCACUGGAGAUCAUCAGCCGC